AAUUCUCAACCAUGUCUUGAUUGAUUUCAAGGCCGUGGCUUGGAGUUUGGGGGUUUGCUGGCCUUCCUCUAGGUCGGCUCUCCUGAAAUGUAUUAGCGAUCUGGCGAGCAAUGGUCUGGAGUGUGGUGCAACGGCCUUUUCGACGUGAUAAUGAUCGUCGUGGGGGCUGGAGCUUUUUGGACCUUGCAUCAAAGCGAGUUCGCUUCCAACUCUCUCAAUCGAAUGGGUUUCAUGUGGGAGUCAUGCAUGUGUUUUGUGUUGUGUACGCUACAUGAGAUUCUUUGAUGAUCGAAAUAAA
RNAcentral lists this unclassified non-coding RNA (298 nucleotides) under uncultured Boletaceae. RNAcentral's name for it is "sequence contains ITS2". Lineage: Eukaryota; Fungi; Basidiomycota; Agaricomycetes; Boletales; Boletaceae. The record is from RNAcentral.